Molecule: ribosomal RNA, 253 nt
Filed under: uncultured bacterium
Lineage: Bacteria
Description: partial 16S ribosomal RNA
Rfam family: Bacterial small subunit ribosomal RNA
Source: RNAcentral
UACGGGGGGAGCGAACGUUGUUCGGAAUUACUGGGCGUAAAGGGCGUGCAGGCGGUCCUGUAAGAGAGUUGUGAAAUGCCCUGGCUCAACCAGGGAAAUGCACCUCUGACUGCAGGACUUGAGUAUGGGAGAGGAUGGGGGAAUUCCCGGUGUAGCGGUGAAAUGCAUUGAUAUCGGGAGGAACACCAGUGGCGAAGGCGCCCAUCUGGCCUAAUACUGACGCUCAGGCGCGAAAGCUAGGGGAGCAAACAGG